RNAcentral lists this small RNA (584 nucleotides) under Pongo abelii (Sumatran orangutan). RNAcentral describes it as "retained intron". The record is from RNAcentral. Lineage: Eukaryota; Metazoa; Chordata; Mammalia; Primates; Hominidae.
AUAAAAUGGCGGAUUUCGAAGAGUUGAGGGAUCUCCAGUACAAUGUUGAAUAGAAGCUGUGAUGGGGGCAUCCUGAUCUUGUUCCUGAUUUUAAAGGGAAUGCUUUCAAAGUUUCACAGUUAAGUAUGAUGCUUGCUGUAGGUUUAUUAUAGAUAAUCUUUCCAGGUUAAGGAUGUUCCCUUUCUUAGUUUGCUAAUUAAAAAAAUCAUGAAUGAAUUUUAUCAGAAGCUUUUUCUGCAUCUUUUGAGAAAAUUAUAUAUUUCUCUUUUGUAAUCUGUUAACAUGCUGAGUUAUAUUAACUUUUUCCCAAUAUUUAAACAAACUUUGUGUUGCAAGUAUAAAUUCAACCCUGAUCUGUUCCUUUUUUUCAUUGGACUCAGUUUGGAGAUAUUUAAUUUAGGAUUUUUGUCUCUCAUAAUGAGUAAAAUUAGCCUAUAGUUAAAAAAUAUACCUUUUCUCUUCUGGAAGAGUUUAUGUAACAUUAGAAAGAUCUGUUUCUUAAAUAUUUAGUAGAACUUGCUUAUAAAAUUAUUACUGUUGUUUUCUUUGAGGAAUGCUUCAAUUGCUUUGGUUGUAGGACUGUU